This 257-nucleotide ribosomal RNA is filed under the name uncultured bacterium. RNAcentral describes it as "partial 16S ribosomal RNA". It matches the Rfam family "Bacterial small subunit ribosomal RNA", at positions 16 to 263 of the family's 1533-position model. The record is from RNAcentral.
AUCCUGGCUCAGGAUGAACGCUAGCUACAGGCUUAACACAUGCAAGUCGAGGGGCAGCAUGGACCCAGCUUUGCUGGGUUUGAUGGCGACCGGCGCACGGGUGAGUAACGCGUAUCCAACCUGCCCUUUACUCCGGGAUAGUCUCCUGAAAGGGAGUUUAAUACCGGAUGUGUUUGUCUUUCCGCAUGGGAGCGACAAAUAAAGAUUAAUUGGUAAAGGAUGGGGAUGCGUCCUAUUAGCUUGUUGGCGGGUAACGG